Molecule: unclassified non-coding RNA, 1895 nt
Filed under: uncultured fungus
Lineage: Eukaryota; Fungi
Description: sequence contains 18S rRNA gene, ITS1, 5.8S rRNA gene, ITS2, 28S rRNA gene
Rfam family: Eukaryotic large subunit ribosomal RNA (bases 764-1895)
Source: RNAcentral
GGAAGGAUCAUUAACAAACGUAUCCACGUACAAAACUCGCGAACUGUUCCCCUGUAAGAGUAAACAAACUUGUGGAUGAAGUUAAUGGCUGAGAGUCUCUUUCUGAUGGAUUUCUGGAUUUUUAUCUGGAACUGGGAGCUCUCAGUCGCUGGCAAGAUUGCUGGGACUUCGUUUACUCUGCUGCGGUAUUUGCCUCCCAUCAGAGGUGUUGUAAUUAACCAAUUUUAUUAACCCAUGCAAAUUUGAACUGAACUUUGUAGCCGAGUAACUGCCCUUGCUGGCUUCGGUCACGGACAUGCUGCUCAGUUACUAUGUUUAUAAAAUAAAGAACAACUCUUAACAACGGAUAUCUUGGUUCUCGUAUCGAUGAAGAACGCAGCAAAAUGCGAUACGUAAUGCGAAUUGCAGAAUUCAGUGAAUCAUCAAAUCUUUGAACGCAAAUUGCGCUCUCGGGAUAGGCCUGGGAGCACGCCUCUUUGAGUAUCGACUCCAACACAACUCGCAAGCGCACUUGUUGAAAAACUUGUGCGCCUGCGGAAACUGAGCACUCUCGUUAACUCGAGAUGCUUGAAAUGCAGCGAGUGGCAUGAGUUGCUGAUCGACAGCGGACUCUGUCUCUGGUGACGAGGAUAACUUCACAUUCAUUUGUGAACCCUUCCAUCGUGACUAUUGAGGCUAGGAAAGCAGACAGUCGCAGCUCUAUGUGGCACGGCACUCUCGAUCGGUUUCGCGCAAGCGAAGUCUGGUCUGAGAACCUAGAACUAGAUCUCAAAUGAAGCGAGAAAACCCGCUGAACUUAAGCAUAUCAUUAAGCGGAGGAAAAGAAAACUAACAAGGAUGCCCUCAGUAACGGCGAGUGAAGCGGGCAGAGCUCAAACUGAAAAUCGAUGCUCCAUGCGGGGUUUCGAAUUGUAGUCUAUAGACGCGCCAUCAGCGAUGAACCGGGUAUAAAUCUUUUGAAACAAGGUGUCAUAGAGGGUGAGAACCCCGUCUUUGACUCGGAGCUCAUUGCGUACGAUGCGCGUUCAAAGAGUCGGGUUGCUUGGGAUUGCAGCCCUAAGCGGGUGGUAAAUUUCAUCUAAAGCUAAAUAUUGACGAGAGACCGAUAGCGAACAAGUACCGUGAGGGAAAGAUGAAAAGAACUUUGAAAAGAGAGUUAAAAAGUACUUGAAAUUGUUAAGAGGGAAGCACUGGAAACCAGUAUUGCCGGUUGCUGUACUCGCCUAUCUGCGGGUCGGAGGCUGCGUGCCGGGAGUUCAACCCUCGGUUGCGUAGUCGAAGAUUCGUGGGUGGGUUCAGCAGUGAUUGGUGGGUCAAAAUCAUUUCGGUUCGCGGGAGAAAGCUAUCUGGAAGAUAGGGUCAAGGGGCAACCUGAGACCUGUUAUAGCCGGCUAGUGCUACCGUGGGCUGGAUUGAGGAACAAAUGCGCGCCACUAGGUUUCAGUUCCCCGACCCUGGGGUGUGAUCGGCGUUGGAUAGCAAAGCUAUGCGCGUUGAGUAAUGCUCUACUGGAAGGGAUGAACUAGAUGCAGCAUUCGAGAUUUUGACGAAAUGGUUUCCAUUGACCCGUCUUGAAACACGGACCAAGGAGUCUAACAUAUAUGCGAGUGUUUAGGUGGCAAACCCUUUCGCGCAAUGAAAGUAAAGGCAGCGUGCUGCUGAGGUAGGAACCCUGGUCCUCGGACCAGGCGGCACUAUCGACCGAUCGUCACUUGUGAUAGAUUUGAGUAUGAGCAUGUCUGUUGGGACCCGAAAGAUGGUGAUCUAUGCCUGAACAGGGUGAAGCCAGGGGAAACUCUGGUGGAGGCUCGUAGCGAUACUGACGUGCAAAUCGUUCGUCUGAUUUGGGUAUAGGGGCGAAAGACUAAUCGAACCAUCUAGUAGCUGGUUCCCUC